RNAcentral lists this ribosomal RNA (247 nucleotides) under uncultured bacterium. RNAcentral describes it as "partial 16S ribosomal RNA". It matches the Rfam family "Bacterial small subunit ribosomal RNA", at positions 90 to 334 of the family's 1533-position model. The record is from RNAcentral.
CCGGACCGGCGCACGGGUGAGUAACACGUAUGCAAUCCACCUGUAACAGGGGAUAACCCGGAGAAAUCCGGACUAAUACCCCAUAAUAUGGGCUCUCCGCAUGGAGGGUCCAUUAAAGAGAGCAAUUUUGGUUACAGACGAGCAUGCGCUCCAUUAGCCAGUUGGCGGGGUAACGGCCCACCAAAGCGACGAUGGAUAGGGGUUCUGAGAGGAAGGUCCCCCACAUUGGAACUGAGACACGGUCCAA